AACGAACGCUGGCGGCAUGCCUAACACAUGCCAGUCGAACGAGACCUUCGGGUCUAGAGGCGCACGGGUGCGUAACGCGUGGGAACCUGCCCUUAGGUUCGGAAUAACUCCCCGAAAGGGGUGCUAAUACCGGAUAAUGUCUUCGGACCAAAGAUUUAUCGCCUUUGGAUGGGCCCGCGUUGGAUUAGCUAGUUGGUAGGGUAAAAGCCUACCAAGGCGACGAUCCAUAGCUGGUCUGAGAGGAUGAUCAGCCACACUGGGACUGAGACACGGCCCAGACUCCUACGGGAGGCAGCAGUGGGGAAUAUUGGACAAUGGGCGAAAGCCUGAUCCAGCAAUGCCGCGUGAGUGAUGAAGGCCUUAGGGUUGUAAAGCUCUUUUACCCGGGAUGAUAAUGACAGUACCGGGAGAAUAAGCUCCGGCUAACUCCGUG
This 433-nucleotide ribosomal RNA is filed under the name uncultured bacterium. Its description in RNAcentral is "partial 16S ribosomal RNA". It matches the Rfam family "Bacterial small subunit ribosomal RNA", at positions 29 to 507 of the family's 1533-position model. The record is from RNAcentral.